This 484-nucleotide ribosomal RNA is filed under the name uncultured bacterium. Its description in RNAcentral is "partial 16S ribosomal RNA". It matches the Rfam family "Bacterial small subunit ribosomal RNA", at positions 30 to 507 of the family's 1533-position model. The record is from RNAcentral.
AUUGAACGCUGGCGGCAUGCUUUACACAUGCAAGUCGAACGGCAGCACGGGCUUCGGCCUGGUGGCGAGUGGCGAACGGGUGAGUAAUAUAUCGGAACGUACCCAGAAGUGGGGGAUAACUUAGCGAAAGUUACGCUAAUACCGCAUACGAUCUAUGGAUGAAAGCAGGGGACCGCAAGGCCUUGUGCUCCUGGAGCGGCCGAUAUCUGAUUAGCUAGUUGGUGAGGUAAAGGCUCACCAAGGCGACGAUCAGUAGCUGGUCUGAGAGGACGACCAGCCACACUGGAACUGAGACACGGUCCAGACUCCUACGGGAGGCAGCAGUGGGGAAUUUUGGACAAUGGGCGCAAGCCUGAUCCAGCAAUGCCGCGUGAGUGAAGAAGGCCUUCGGGUUGUAAAGCUCUUUUGUCAGGGAAGAAACGGUAGAGGCUAAUAUCCUUUGCUAAUGACGGUACCUGAAGAAUAAGCACCGGCUAACUACGUG